Molecule: unclassified non-coding RNA, 329 nt
Filed under: soil metagenome
Description: partial contains 5.8S ribosomal RNA, internal transcribed spacer 2, and large subunit ribosomal RNA
Rfam family: 5.8S ribosomal RNA (bases 1-120)
Source: RNAcentral
GAUGAAGAACGUAGCGAAAUGCGAUAAGUAAUGUGAAUUGCAGAAUUCAGUGAAUCAUCGAAUCUUUGAACGCACAUUGCGCCCCCUGGUAUUCCGGGGGGCAUGCCUGUCCGAGCGUCAUUACAACCCUCAAGCUCAGCUUGGUGUUGGGCCCCGCCGCCCCGGCGGGCCCUAAAGUCAGUGGCGGUGCCGUCCGGCUCCGAGCGUAGUAAUUCUUCUCGCUCUGGAGGUCCGGUCGUGUGCUCGCCAGCAACCCCCAAUUUUUUUCAGGUUGACCUCGGAUCAGGUAGGGAUACCCGCUGAACUUAAGCAUUUCAAUAAGCGGAGGA